RNAcentral lists this ribosomal RNA (523 nucleotides) under uncultured bacterium. Its description in RNAcentral is "bacterial SSU rRNA". It matches the Rfam family "Bacterial small subunit ribosomal RNA", at positions 355 to 899 of the family's 1533-position model. The record is from RNAcentral.
UGGGGAAUCUUGGACAAUGGGGCAACCCUGAUCCAGCCAUGCCGCGUGAGUGAUGAAGGCCCUAGGGUUGUAAAGCUCUUUCAACGGUGAAGAUAAUGACGGUAACCGUAGAAGAAGCCCCGGCUAACUUCGUGCCAGCAGCCGCGGUAAUACGGAGGGUGCGAGCGUUAAUCGGAAUUACUGGGCGUAAAGCGCGCGUAGGCGGUUGCUUAAGUCGGAUGUGAAAGCCCCGGGCUCAACCUGGGAACUGCAUUCGAUACUGGGCGACUAGAGUACGAGAGAGGGAGGUAGAAUUCCACGUGUAGCGGUGAAAUGCGUAGAUAUGUGGAGGAAUACCGGUGGCGAAGGCGGCCUCCUGGCUCGAUACUGACGCUGAGGUGCGAAGCGUGGGGAGCAAACAGGAUUAGAUACCCUGGUAGUCCACGCCGUAAACGAUGGUCACUCGGUGCUGCGGGUAUCGACCCUGCAGUGCCUUAGCUAACGCGUUAAGUGACCGCCUGGGAGUACGGUCGCAAGGCUGAAA